Molecule: ribosomal RNA, 207 nt
Filed under: uncultured bacterium
Lineage: Bacteria
Description: partial 16S ribosomal RNA
Rfam family: Bacterial small subunit ribosomal RNA
Source: RNAcentral
CGUGUAGGCGGCCAGGUAGGUCCGUUGUGAAAACUCGAGGCUCAACCUCGAGACGCCGAUGGAAACCAUCUGGCUAGAGUCCGGAAGAGGAGAGUGGAAUUCCUGGUGUAGCGGUGAAAUGCGCAGAUAUCAGGAAGAACACCCGUGGCUAAGGCGGCUCUCUAGUACGGUACUGACGCUGGGACGCGAAAGCGUGGGGAGCGAACA